RNAcentral lists this ribosomal RNA (504 nucleotides) under uncultured bacterium. Its description in RNAcentral is "bacterial SSU rRNA". It matches the Rfam family "Bacterial small subunit ribosomal RNA", at positions 39 to 524 of the family's 1533-position model. The record is from RNAcentral.
CGCUGCGGCAGCCUAAUCAUGCAAGUCGAGCGGGAUGAUGAGAGCUUGCUCUCUGAUUUUAGCGGCGGACGGGUGAGUAACACGUGGGCAACCUGCCCUACAGAUGGGGAUAACUCCGGGAAGCCGGGGCUAAUACCGAAUAAUCAGUUUGUCCGCAUGGACAAACUCUGAAAGACGGUUUCGGCUGUCACUGUAGGAUGGGCCCGCGGCGCAUUAGCUAGUUGGUGGGGUAAUGGCCUACCAAGGCAACGAUGCGUAGCCGACCUGAGAGGGUGAUCGGCCACACUGGGACUGAGACACGGCCCAGACUCCUACGGGAGGCAGCAGUAGGGAAUCUUCCACAAUGGACGAAAGUCUGAUGGAGCAAUGCCGCGUGAGCGAAGAAGGUUUUCGGAUCGUAAAGCUCUGUUGUAAGGGAAGAACACGUACGGGAGUAACUGCCCGUGCCAUGACGGUACCUUACUAGAAAGCCACGGCUAACUACGUGCCAGCAGCCGCGGUAAU